UCUUGCCCAAAAGGCCUCUUGCUAGGAAGAGAAGUGCCCACACAUAUAAGGCAUUUCAUCUUUCCCUCCUCAAGCGAUGUGGGAUUGCUCAACUUUCUUGUUUCCCCAAGACACGGGUCUUACAAUCCACUCCUCUUGGGGCCUAGCGUCCUUGCUGGCACACUUUUGGUCGGGGUCUAGCUCUGAUACCAUUUGUCACGACCCAACUCCUCUAGCAAGAUAUUGUCCGUUUUGGGCCUCCUCCCUCAAGGUUUUGUUCUUGGGCUCAAGCUAAUGUUAUCUUGCCUAAAAGGCUUCUUGCUAGGAAGAGAAGUGCCCUCACAUAUAAGACACUUCAC
This 338-nucleotide long non-coding RNA is filed under the name Prunus persica (peach). RNAcentral's name for it is "long non-coding RNA (PPER_LNC004476)". The record is from RNAcentral. Lineage: Eukaryota; Viridiplantae; Streptophyta; Magnoliopsida; Rosales; Rosaceae.